RNAcentral lists this ribosomal RNA (445 nucleotides) under uncultured bacterium. RNAcentral describes it as "bacterial SSU rRNA". It matches the Rfam family "Bacterial small subunit ribosomal RNA", at positions 330 to 792 of the family's 1533-position model. The record is from RNAcentral.
UCCAGACUCCUACGGGAGGCAGCAGUGGGGAAUAUUGCACAAUGGGGGAAACCCUGAUGCAGCGACGCCGCGUGAGUGAAGAAGUAUUUCGGUAUGUAAAGCUCUCUCAGCAGGGAAGAAAAUGACGGUACCUGAUUAAGAAGCCCCGGCUAACUACGUGCCAGCAGCCGCGGUAAUACGUAGGGGGCAAGCGUUAUCCGGAUUUACUGGGUGUAAAGGGAGCGUAGACGGUGAUGCAAGUCAGAAGUGAAAGCCCGGGGCUCAACUCCGGGACUGCUUUUGAAACUGUGUGACUGGAGUGCAGGAGAGGUAAGCGGAAUUCCUGGUGUAGCGGUGAAAUGCGUAGAUAUCAGGAGGAACACCAGUGGCGAAGGCGGCUUACUGGACUGUAACUGACGUUGAGGCUCGAAAGUGUGGGUAUCAAACAGGAUUAGAUACCCCUGUA